CUGAAGAGUUUGAUCCUGGCUCAGAUUGAACGCUGGCGGCAUGCUUUACACAUGCAAGUCGAACGGCAGCACGGGCUUCGGUCUGGUGGCGAGUGGCGAACGGGUGAGUAAUAUAUCGGAACGUACCCAGAAGUGGGGGAUAACGUAGCGAAAGUUACGCUAAUACCGCAUACGAUCUACGGAUGAAAGUGGGGGACCUUCGGGCCUCAUGCUUUUGGAGCGGCCGAUAUCUGAUUAGCUAGUUGGUAGGGUAAAGGCCUACCAAGGCGACGAUCUGUAGCGGGUCUGAGAGGAUGAUCCGCCACACUGGGACUGAGACACGGCCCAGACUCCUACGGGAGGCAGCAGUGGGGAAU
This 356-nucleotide ribosomal RNA is filed under the name Prymnesium parvum. RNAcentral's name for it is "partial Bacterial small subunit ribosomal RNA". It matches the Rfam family "Bacterial small subunit ribosomal RNA", at positions 1 to 362 of the family's 1533-position model. The record is from RNAcentral. Lineage: Eukaryota; Haptophyta; Prymnesiales; Prymnesiaceae.